GCUUUGUGAAUGGCUCUCUUUGUGAGAAGCUCCAAGGAGAAGCUCCUGGCAAGGACCAGUGUGUAACAGAAUCUGCAGCCAUGGCUCCUGGGGCUCUUCUUUAGAUCAGAUCCUACCUUUUCACAAGGCCACCUCUGAUGUGUCUCCCGGAGCUCAUUGCUGAGCAACACGUUUUUCUGUAGCUACAAUUGUUUCACCUCCCCAUAAUGCACGCUACAGUCUGCAUGAUGACAUAAUCACAGAGGAAACUUGUGGAUUAUCAUUAAUAUACAAAGACAGGAAAGUAAAGUCUUUCAUGAAACAUAAGUACUGCUCCUGUGAGCUACAGUGUGCAUGACGCAUAUGAGAUAAACAG
Long non-coding RNA from Meriones unguiculatus (Mongolian gerbil), 355 nucleotides. RefSeq lists it as uncharacterized. The transcript has 4 exons. Lineage: Eukaryota; Metazoa; Chordata; Mammalia; Rodentia; Muridae. The record is from RefSeq and is a predicted model, not a curated record.